This 662-nucleotide ribosomal RNA is filed under the name uncultured Pseudoalteromonas sp. Its description in RNAcentral is "bacterial SSU rRNA". It matches the Rfam family "Bacterial small subunit ribosomal RNA", at positions 60 to 717 of the family's 1533-position model. The record is from RNAcentral. Lineage: Bacteria; Pseudomonadati; Pseudomonadota; Gammaproteobacteria; Alteromonadales; Pseudoalteromonadaceae.
AGUCGAGCGGUAACAGAGAGGUGCUUGCACCUUUGCUGACGAGCGGCGGACGGGUGAGUAAUGCUUGGGAACAUGCCUUGAGGUUGGGGACAACAGUUGGAAACGACUGCUAAUACCGCAUAAUGUCUACGGACCAAAGGGGGCUUCGGCUCCCGCCUUUAGAUUGGCCCAAGUGGGAUUAGCUAGUUGGUGAGGUAAUGGCUCACCAAGGCGACGAUCCCUAGCUGGUUUGAGAGGAUGAUUAGCCACACUGGGACUGAGACACGGCCCAGACUCCUACGGGAGGCAGCAGUGGGGAAUAUUGCACAAUGGGCGCAAGCCUGAUGCAGCCAUGCCGCGUGUGUGAAGAAGGCCUUCGGGUUGUAAAGCACUUUCAGUCAGGAGGAAAGGUUAGUAGUUAAUACCUGCUAGCUGUGACGUUACUGACAGAAGAAGCACCGGCUAACUCCGUGCCAGCAGCCGCGGUAAUACGGAGGGUGCGAGCGUUAAUCGGUAUUACUGGGCGUAAAGCGUACGCAGGCGGUUUGUUAAGCGAGAUGUGAAAGCCCCGGGCUCAACCUGGGAACUGCAUUUCGAACUGGCAAACUAGAGUGUGAUAGAGGGUGGUAGAAUUUCAGGUGUAGCGGUGAAAUGCGUAGAGAUCUGAAGGAAUACCGAUGGCG